GUGUCAGCAGCCGCGGUAAAACGUAGGAGCCAAGCGUUAUCCGAAUUUACUGGGCGUAAAGCGCAAGCAGGCGGCUUGGUAAGUUGGCUGUGAAAUCUCCCGGCUCAACUGGGAGGGGACGGUCAAGACUGCCAGGCUGGAGGCAGGUAGAGGGAGGUGGAAUUCCCGGUGUAGUGGUGAAAUGCGUAGAUAUCGGGAGGAACACCAGUGGCGAAAGCGGCCUCCUGGACCUGACCUGACGCUGAGGUGCGAAAGCUAGGGGAGCGAACGGGAUUAGAAACCCCAGUAGUCC
Molecule: ribosomal RNA, 292 nt
Filed under: uncultured bacterium
Lineage: Bacteria
Description: partial 16S ribosomal RNA
Rfam family: Bacterial small subunit ribosomal RNA
Source: RNAcentral